AUGACGACCGGCGCACGGGUGCGUAACGCGUAUAGAACCUACCUUUUACAGAGGAAUAGCCUUUAGAAAUGAAGAUUAAUGCCUCAUAGUAUUGUAGACUGGCAUCAGUUUAUAAUUAAAGAUUUAUCGGUAAAAGAUGGCUAUGCGUCCUAUUAGUUAGUUGGUAAGGUAACGGCUUACCAAGACAGCGAUAGGUAGGGGUCCUGAGAGGGAGAUCCCCCACACUGGUACUGAGACACGGACCAGACUCCUACGGGAGGCAGCAGUGAGGAAUAUUGGACAAUGGAGGAGACUCUGAUCCAGCCAUGCCGCGUGUAGGAAGAAUGCCCUAUGGGUUGUAAACUACUUUUAUACAGGAAGAAACACUGGUAUGUAUACCAGCUUGACGGUACUGUAAGAAUAAGGACCGGC
Molecule: ribosomal RNA, 411 nt
Filed under: uncultured Polaribacter sp.
Lineage: Bacteria; Pseudomonadati; Bacteroidota; Flavobacteriia; Flavobacteriales; Flavobacteriaceae
Description: bacterial SSU rRNA
Rfam family: Bacterial small subunit ribosomal RNA
Source: RNAcentral